RNAcentral lists this ribosomal RNA (433 nucleotides) under uncultured bacterium. RNAcentral describes it as "partial 16S ribosomal RNA". It matches the Rfam family "Bacterial small subunit ribosomal RNA", at positions 29 to 507 of the family's 1533-position model. The record is from RNAcentral.
AACGAACGCUGGCGGCAUGCCUAACACAUGCGAGUCGAACGAGACCUUCGGGUCUAGUGGCGCACGGGUGCGUAACGCGUGGGAACAUGCCCUUAGGUUCGGCAUAACUCCCCGAAAGGGGUGCUAAUACCGGAUAAUGUCUUCGGACCAAAGAUUUAUCGCCUUUGGAUGGGCCCGCGUUGGAUUAGCUAGUUGGUAGGGUAAAAGCCUACCAAGGCUACGUUACAUAGCUGGUCUGAGAGGAUGGUCAGCCACACUGGGACUGGGACACGGCCCAGACUCCUGCGGGAGGCAGCAGUGGGGAAUAUUGGACAACGGGCGAGAGCCUGAGCCAGCAAUGCCGCGUGAGUGAUGAAGGCCUUAGGGUUGUAAAGCUCUUUUACCCGGGAUGAUAAUGACAGUACCGGGAGAAUAAGCGCCGGCUAACUCCGUG